AACCAAGCCAUGAGGUCAAAGGCAUUGUCCGUAGAGCUCCGAGACAGGUUUGUGUCGAGGCACAGAUCUGGGGAAGGGUACCAAAAAAUGUCUGCAGCGUUGAAGGUCCCCUAGAACACAGUGGCCUCCAUCAUUCUUAAAUGGAAGAUUUGUGGAAACACCAAGAUACUUCAACUUCCAAGAGGUGACCAAGAACCCGAUGUCCACUCUGACAGAGCUCCAGAGUUCCUCUAUGGAGAUAGGAGAGCCUUCAAGAAGGACAACCAUCUCUGCAGCACAGGCCAAGAUGUCUGACUCAUGUUAUGAUGAGUCAAGUCAGAACUGGAGCAGCAGGAAUCAUGCUCUGCCAGGACCAGGGUUGUGACUCAGAGACUCUGCUCUGUGCACCGUGGAGUCACUGUUCCACUACUCUAACCUCCACUCAGGGGUUGAAGAGAAGUGAAAAGAGCAAAGUGGACCUCGGGGUGGAAAGGAACAGACAAGCUGUUCUUAAUGGCAGGCCAUUUCUCAUGUUAUUACUGAGCUUUCUGCUGGCUGAAGAGAUGUGGUGUGGAUAGUGGCUGUUUCCUGCCUCUCCUCUCAGCUCAGGUGCAUCUAACUUAUACUCUGGC
This 611-nucleotide long non-coding RNA is filed under the name Salmo salar (Atlantic salmon). RNAcentral's name for it is "lncRNA (ENSSSAG00000107077.1)". Lineage: Eukaryota; Metazoa; Chordata; Actinopteri; Salmoniformes; Salmonidae. The record is from RNAcentral.